GCCGAAGUGGCGGAAUAGGCAGACGCGUCGGUCUCAAAAACCGAUGGGGGAAACCUCGUGCCGGUUCGACCCCGGCCUUCGGCACCA
Molecule: transfer RNA, 87 nt
Filed under: Gracilibacteraceae bacterium
Lineage: Bacteria; Bacillati; Bacillota; Clostridia; Eubacteriales; Gracilibacteraceae
Description: tRNA-Leu
Rfam family: tRNA
About the family: Transfer RNA (tRNA) molecules are approximately 80 nucleotides in length. Their secondary structure includes four short double-helical elements and three loops (D, anti-codon, and T loops). Further hydrogen bonds mediate the characteristic L-shaped molecular structure. tRNAs have two regions of fundamental functional importance: the anti-codon, which is responsible for specific mRNA codon recognition, and the 3' end, to which the tRNAs corresponding amino acid is attached (by aminoacyl-tRNA synthetases). tRNAs cope with the degeneracy of the genetic code in two manners: having more than one tRNA (with a specific anti-codon) for a particular amino acid; and 'wobble' base-pairing, i.e. permitting non-standard base-pairing at the 3rd anti-codon position.
Source: RNAcentral